Heterocephalus glaber (naked mole-rat) is the source of this 1755-nucleotide long non-coding RNA. The record is from Ensembl. NCBI's taxonomy places the organism in Eukaryota, Metazoa, Chordata, Mammalia, Rodentia, Bathyergidae.
UAUUACCAACCACUCUGGGAAGAUAAAAUUCCUCUGUAUCACAUAGAAAUAGAGACAGAUGAAAAUGACAGAGCUAUGAAUAUCUACAGAGAUAUAUUGAAAGAGAUCUACAUUUACAUUAUAUAUUUUCAUAUAUCUACAUCCAUAUCUAUAUAUCAUGGUAGAGAGGAUUUUAUAAUCCCAUCAAACCAACAAAAGAAAUAAAGGAAAACAUAGUGCAUUACUAGGUACGUGUCCAAAGGACAUGUAGGUUAGCCAAACAAGCUCUCAAUGGCCAAGGAGGGACCAAACUUGAGCACUAAAAUAACCAACACAGUUGUCUUCUUCACUUUCUGGUCUAUGAGACACAAUACCACACACACGAUUUAAAGGAGGAGAGCUUUAUUGACUCUCAGUUUCAGCUCUUGGUCAGCUAGUUUCAAAGCAGAAAAGAUGUAGUGGAAAUAUCUAGGCAGGGAAAGCUGCUCCUACCAUGGGGACCAGGAAGCUGAGGGGGAGACAGGAGCCCCUGUACUGAGAGGUCUUGAGGUCCACUGCAGCCAUGUUCAGAAGUGGGGCCUAGAGAAGUGAGUGGAUUAUGAGCAUGCUGACCUCAUAAUAAGCCAUUGGUGAACUCACAGCUGAGUGGGCUGUAGGAGGUGGAGAUCUGUUGGAGGAAGUAGGUGCUUGAGGAGGGGGUGUGCCUUUUAAGGAGAUUAUUUCAUCCCCAGCUCCUUCCUGUCUGAUUUUUCCCCCUACUAUCUCUGUUUUCUGACUACCAUGAGGUGAGCAGCUUUCCUCCGCCAUGCCUGUCUGCCAUGAUGUUUCUGCCUUGGAGCCAGCCAACCAUGGACUGAAGCCUCUGCAACCACAGUCACAACAAAACCUCUUCUCCUUUAAGCUGUGGAUGUCAGUGUCCUGAGUAGAUGAGAAUGUGGAAGAACAUCUGUGGACUCCACCCAUUCAAUGCUAGUACCACUACCGGCCUAUGCUAUGUCCCACCAAAGAUAUCUUUAGAUGACCCUCGGUGUCUAUUGGAGAUGAAAAUAGCCCUUAUGGAGAACCUUCACUCUAAAACAAUGAUGAAUUAAAAAAAAAAAAAGAAGAAGCAUGCCCCAUCUUUCCAUCUGUACCACACUAAAAACUGUCCCUGGUAAUGAUUCUCUCUGGAGUUACCAUGGAAGUUUUUUGCAUCCAUGUAGUAAACAGCUAUAGGUGCUUCAUAGAAUGUUUAGCUAUCCACAUUCUCCCGCAGAAUAUCUGCAUGAAGAUUCCUUUUUCAUUAUGAUGAGUGAAAUGGUCCCUCCGCCCUUGGUAAUACUCAUGACCCUGGGUUCAGAUGAAGGUUGAGGGUGUUCACAGACACCUGCCACGAAGCUAACCUUUGGUUGGCUGGUCACGCACUGCCACUGUCUCGACGUUCCUCGUGUUCCUUCACCUUCCCUGGUUGACCUGUAGUCUCUGAGAUAUUCUUCCAAGUUACAUCAGUGCCACUUCUGCCCAUGAGCUUAUUUCUCCAAAAACCCUCCCUAAGAAAUAUUAUUUGUCCUUCCAGGGCUGGGAGUGGUGACGUCCACUGCCCCUGCUCUCCAAGCCCCUAGACCUUCUAACAGCUCUUAAUUUGUUCACUUCUCAUGACAGUAAUCUGAGUGAGUGUGUGUUUGUGUGUGUGUGUGUGUGUGGAUGCACAUCUUCUCCACUAGAUUAUAAGUUCCAUCUGUGUAUAUGCCCCAAUGCCUCCUUUAAUAAAUGUUAGUUUCACACUGUCAGCACAAC